AGCUCCAAUAGCGUAUAUUAAAGUUGCUGCAGUUAAAACGCUCGUAGUUGUUGUCCAACUAUACGCACCAUUGCAUUGUGCUAUUGGUGUAAAUAGUUUUGCUGAGACUCUGUUUCGGCCAAAACCUUGAGGAAAGAUUAGUGUUCCAAGCAGUUAAUUUUGUCCUCCCCAGCAUGGUAUUCAACUCAAUCGAGGAGGGUUGCCGAGCCCUCAUCAAACUAAAUAGAAAUUCUAGGAGGUAUACGUACUUUAAUGUCAGAGGUGAAAUUCCUAGAUUUUUAAAAGACGGUCAGUUGCGAAAGCGUUCACCAAGCGACUCUUCU
Molecule: ribosomal RNA, 323 nt
Filed under: uncultured eukaryote
Lineage: Eukaryota
Description: partial small subunit ribosomal RNA
Rfam family: Eukaryotic small subunit ribosomal RNA
Source: RNAcentral